CCUACGGGUGGCAGCAGUGAGGAAUAUUGGUCAAUGGACGAGAGUCUGAACCAGCCAAGUAGCGUGAAGGAUGACUGCCCUAUGGGUUGUAAACUUCUUUUAUAUGGGAAUAAAAUGUUCCACGUGUGGGAUUUUGUAUGUACCAUAUGAAUAAGGAUCGGCUAACUCCGUGCCAGCAGCCGCGGUAAUACGGAGGAUCCGAGCGUUAUCCGGAUUUAUUGGGUUUAAAGGGAGCGUAGGUGGAUUGUUAAGUCAGUUGUGAAAGUUUGCGGCUCAACCGUAAAAUUGCAGUUGAAACUGGCAGUCUUGAGUACAGUAGAGGUGUGCGGAAUGCGUGGUGUAGCGGUGAAAUGCUUAGAUAUCACGAAGAACUCCGAUUGCGAAGGCAGUUCACUGGACUGCAACUGACACUGAGGCUCGAAAGUGUGGGUAUCAAACAGGAUUAGAUACCCCUGUAGUC
RNAcentral lists this ribosomal RNA (460 nucleotides) under uncultured bacterium. RNAcentral's name for it is "partial 16S ribosomal RNA". It matches the Rfam family "Bacterial small subunit ribosomal RNA", at positions 338 to 795 of the family's 1533-position model. The record is from RNAcentral.